Molecule: transfer RNA, 71 nt
Filed under: Loxodonta africana (African savanna elephant)
Lineage: Eukaryota; Metazoa; Chordata; Mammalia; Proboscidea; Elephantidae
Rfam family: tRNA
About the family: Transfer RNA (tRNA) molecules are approximately 80 nucleotides in length. Their secondary structure includes four short double-helical elements and three loops (D, anti-codon, and T loops).
Source: Rfam by way of RNAcentral
ACAGUAGUGGUUCAGUGGUAGAAUUAUCACCUCCCAUGUGAGAGACACAGGUUUGAUUCCUGGCCAGUGGU